GACGAACGCUGGCGGCGUGCCUAAUACAUGCAAGUCGAGCGCAGGAAAUCGACGGAACCCUUCGGGGGGAAGUCGAUGGAAUGAGCGGCGGACGGGUGAGUAACACGUAAAGAACCUGCCCUCAGGUCUGGGAUAACCACGAGAAAUCGGGGCUAAUACCGGAUGGGUCAUCGGACCGCAUGGUCCGAGGAUGAAAGGCGCUUCGGCGUCGCCUGGGGAUGGCUUUGCGGUGCAUUAGCUAGUUGGUGGGGUAAUGGCCCACCAAGGCGACGGUGCAUAGCCGACCUGAGAGGGGGAUCGGCCACACUGGGACUGAGACACGGCCCAGACUCCUACGGGAGGCAGCAGUAGGGAAUCUUCCACAAUGGACGAAAGUCUGAUGGAGCAACGCCGCGUGAACGAUGAAGGCCUUCGGGUCGUAAAGUUCUGUUGUAAGGGAAGAACAAGUGCCGCAGGCAAUGGCGGCACCUUGACGGUACCUUGCGAGAAAGCCACGGCUAACUACGUGCCAGCCGCCGCGGUAA
This 524-nucleotide ribosomal RNA is filed under the name uncultured bacterium. Its description in RNAcentral is "partial 16S ribosomal RNA". It matches the Rfam family "Bacterial small subunit ribosomal RNA", at positions 28 to 523 of the family's 1533-position model. The record is from RNAcentral.